UACGAAGGGGGCUAGCGUUGUUCGGAAUUACUGGGCGUAAAGCGUGCGCAGGCGGCCAUUUAAGUCAGGGGUGAAAGCCUGGGGCUCAACCCCAGAACUGCCCUUGAGACUGGAUGGCUGGAGUGCGGGAGAGGUGAGUGGAAUUCCCAGUGUAGAGGUGAAAUUCGUAGAGAUUGGGUAGAACACCCGUGGCGAAGGCGGCUCACUGGCCCGUAACUGACGAUCAGGCACGAUAGAGUGGGGAGCAAACAGG
This 253-nucleotide ribosomal RNA is filed under the name uncultured bacterium. RNAcentral's name for it is "partial 16S ribosomal RNA". It matches the Rfam family "Bacterial small subunit ribosomal RNA", at positions 524 to 776 of the family's 1533-position model. The record is from RNAcentral.